GACGAACGCUGGCGGCGUGCUUAACACAUGCAAGUCGAACGGAAAGGCCCGGCUUUUGUGGGGUGCUCGAUUGGCGAACGCGUGAGUAACACGUGUGUAACCUGCCCUUGUCUGUGGGAUAACUUCUGGAAACUCGGGCUAAUACCGGAUAGGAGCUCUUGCUGCGUGGGGGGGGAUGGAAAGUUUCGGCGGUGGGGGAUGUACUCGCGGCUUAUCCGCUUGUUUGUGUGGUAGUGGUGUACCAAGGCUUUGACGGGUAGCCGGCCUGAGAGCGUGACCAGCGACAAUGCGCCUGCGGUACGGCCCAGACUCCUACGGGAGGCAGCAGUGGGGAAUCUUGCAGAGUGGGCGGAAGCCUGAUGCAGCAGCGCUGCGUGCGGAAUGCCGGCUUUCGGGUUGUAAACCACUUUCGCCUGUGACGAAGCGGGAGUGACGGUAAUGGGUAAAGAAGCCCCGGCUAACUACGUG
Molecule: ribosomal RNA, 468 nt
Filed under: uncultured bacterium
Lineage: Bacteria
Description: partial 16S ribosomal RNA
Rfam family: Bacterial small subunit ribosomal RNA
Source: RNAcentral